AUUGAACGCUGGCGGUACGCUUAACACAUGCAAGUCGAGCGGAAACGACAUAUCAGAAGCUUCGGUGGAAGAUAUGGGCGUCGAGCGGCGGACGGGUGAGUAACGCGUAGGGAUCUACCUUAAAGUUGGGGACAACUCGGGGAAACUCGAGCUAAUACCGGAUGUGCUCUUCGGAGUAAAGGUGCCUUAGGGUGCCGCUUUAAGAUGAACCUGCGUUCGAUUAGCUAGUUGGUGAGGUAAAGGCUCACCAAGGCGACGAUCGAUAGCUGGACUGAGAGGUUGGCCAGCCACACUGGGACUGAGACACGGCCCAG
This 314-nucleotide ribosomal RNA is filed under the name uncultured bacterium. RNAcentral's name for it is "bacterial SSU rRNA". It matches the Rfam family "Bacterial small subunit ribosomal RNA", at positions 30 to 334 of the family's 1533-position model. The record is from RNAcentral.